This 337-nucleotide unclassified non-coding RNA is filed under the name soil metagenome. RNAcentral's name for it is "partial contains 5.8S ribosomal RNA, internal transcribed spacer 2, and large subunit ribosomal RNA". The stretch from base 1 to 120 matches the Rfam family "5.8S ribosomal RNA", at positions 35 to 154 of the family's 154-position model. The record is from RNAcentral.
GAUGAAGAACGUAGCGAAAUGCGAUAAGUAGUGUGAAUUGCAGAAUUCAGUGAAUCAUCGAAUCUUUGAACGCACAUUGCGCCCCAUGGUAUUCCGUGGGGCAUGCCUGUUCGAGCGUCAUUUACCCCCUCAAGCUCCGCUUGGUGUUGGGCGUCUGUCCCGCUUCGCGCGCGGACUCGCCCCAAAGGUAUUGGCAGCGGUCGUGCCAGCUUCUCGCGCAGCACAUUGCGCUUCUCGAGGCACCGGUGGGCCCGCGUCCAACAAGCUCACCCCCCCAGUUUGACCUCGGAUCAGGUAGGGAUACCCGCUGAACUUAAGCAUAUCAAUAAGCGGAGGA